AACGAACGCUGGCGGCGUGCUUAACACAUGCAAGUCGAGCGAGAAAGGGAGCUUCGGCUCCUGAGUAAAGCGGCGCACGGGUGAGUAACACGUGGGUAACCUGCCUUUCAGUGGGGGAUAACAGUUCGAAAGGGCUGCUAAUACCGCAUUCGUCCACACGGUCACAUGUCUGUGUGGAGAAAGAGGCGCAAGUCUCGCUGGAAGAUGGGCCCGCGGUCCAUUAGCUAGUUGGUGGGUAAGGCCUACCAAGGCUUCGAUGGAUAGCUGGUCUGAGAGGAUGAUCAGCCACACUGGAACUGAGACACGGUCCAGACUCCUACGGGAGGCAGCAGUGGGGAAUAUUGCGCAAUGGCGAAAGCCUGACGCAGCAACGCCGCGUGUGUGAUGAAGGCCUCGGUG
Molecule: ribosomal RNA, 399 nt
Filed under: uncultured bacterium
Lineage: Bacteria
Description: bacterial SSU rRNA
Rfam family: Bacterial small subunit ribosomal RNA
Source: RNAcentral